RNAcentral lists this ribosomal RNA (1534 nucleotides) under Salmonella enterica. RNAcentral describes it as "partial 23S ribosomal RNA". It matches the Rfam family "Bacterial large subunit ribosomal RNA", at positions 711 to 2141 of the family's 2925-position model. The record is from RNAcentral. Lineage: Bacteria; Pseudomonadati; Pseudomonadota; Gammaproteobacteria; Enterobacterales; Enterobacteriaceae.
AGACCCGAAACCCGGUGAUCUAGCCAUGGGCAGGUUGAAGGUUGGGUAACACUAACUGGAGGACCGAACCGACUAAUGUUGAAAAAUUAGCGGAUGACCUGUGGCUGGGGGUGAAAGGCCAAUCAAACCGGGAGAUAGCUGGUUCUCCCCGAAAGCUAUUUAGGUAGCGCCUCGUGAAUUCAUCUCCGGGGGUAGAGCACUGUUUCGGCUAGGGGGCCAUCCCGGCUUACCAACCCGAUGCAAACUGCGAAUACCGGAGAAUGUUAUCACGGGAGACACACGGCGGGUGCUAACGUCCGUCGUGAAGAGGGAAACAACCCAGACCGCCAGCUAAGGUCCCAAAGUCAUGGUUAAGUGGGAAACGAUGUGGGAAGGCCCAGACAGCCAGGAUGUUGGCUUAGAAGCAGCCAUCAUUUAAAGAAAGCGUAAUAGCUCACUGGUCGAGUCGGCCUGCGCGGAAGAUGUAACGGGGCUAAACCAUGCACCGAAGCUGCGGCAGCGAACGUAUCACCCAAGACAACUUUGCGGAGUUGACGAUUGACGGAGCGAAGCGACGUCAAAGCGUUCAUUAAAGUCGAGUUGGCUUAGGGAUACGUUCGUUGGGUAGGGGAGCGUUCUGUAAGCCUGUGAAGGUGUGUCGUGAGGCAUGCUGGAGGUAUCAGAAGUGCGAAUGCUGACAUAAGUAACGAUAAAGCGGGUGAAAAGCCCGCUCGCCGGAAGACCAAGGGUUCCUGUCCAACGUUAAUCGGGGCAGGGUGAGUCGACCCCUAAGGCGAGGCCGAAAGGCGUAGUCGAUGGGAAACGGGUUAAUAUUCCCGUACUUGGUGUUACUGCGAAGGGGGGACGGAGAAGGCUAUGUUGGCCGGGCGACGGUUGUCCCGGUUUAAGCGUGUAGGUGUGUGUUCCAGGUAAAUCCGGUUCACUUUAACACUGAGGCGUGACGACGAGGCACUACGGUGCUGAAGCAACAAAUGCCCUGCUUCCAGGAAAAGCCUCUAAGCAUCAGGUAACAUCAAAUCGUACCCCAAACCGACACAGGUGGUCAGGUAGAGAAUACCAAGGCGCUUGAGAGAACUCGGGUGAAGGAACUAGGCAAAAUGGUGCCGUAACUUCGGGAGAAGGCACGCUGACACGUAGGUGAAGUGAUUUACUCAUGGAGCUGAAGUCAGUCGAAGAUACCAGCUGGCUGCAACUGUUUAUUAAAAACACAGCACUGUGCAAACACGAAAGUGGACGUAUACGGUGUGACGCCUGCCCGGUGCCGGAAGGUUAAUUGAUGGGGUCAGCGCAAGCGAAGCUCCUGAUCGAAGCCCCGGUAAACGGCGGCCGUAACUAUAACGGUCCUAAGGUAGCGAAAUUCCUUGUCGGGUAAGUUCCGACCUGCACGAAUGGCGUAAUGAUGGCCAGGCUGUCUCCACCCGAGACUCAGUGAAAUUGAACUCGCUGUGAAGAUGCAGUGUACCCGCGGCAAGACGGAAAGACCCCGUGAACCUUUACUAUAGCUUGACACUGAACAUUGAGCCUUGAUGUGUAG